This 200-nucleotide long non-coding RNA is filed under the name Cairina moschata (Muscovy duck). RNAcentral describes it as "domestica (muscovy Duck (domestic type)) lncRNA (ENSCMMG00000000084.1)". The record is from RNAcentral. Lineage: Eukaryota; Metazoa; Chordata; Aves; Anseriformes; Anatidae.
AUUCCUUACAUGUAAGAACUAUGUACUCACAUCAUUUGUAAAGGAUCUUGAAAAUGUUUUUGUGAAUCUCUUGUUCCUUUUGUUCUGUUCUAGAUUGAAGGACAAAUUGGAGAUAGCGCUAUGGAUAAGCCAGACGUCAGAGGAUAAAACAGAAACCUGCAGACAACAGGAUACAAAGGGAGCACAAAAACCUCUUUCUG